GUUCCGUUCGUCUAGUUGGUUAGGACACCGGGUUUUCAUCUCGGCAACAGGGGUUCGAGUCCCCUACGGAAUACCA
This 76-nucleotide transfer RNA is filed under the name bacterium. Its description in RNAcentral is "tRNA-Glu". It matches the Rfam family "tRNA". From Rfam's summary of the family: Transfer RNA (tRNA) molecules are approximately 80 nucleotides in length. Their secondary structure includes four short double-helical elements and three loops (D, anti-codon, and T loops). Further hydrogen bonds mediate the characteristic L-shaped molecular structure. tRNAs have two regions of fundamental functional importance: the anti-codon, which is responsible for specific mRNA codon recognition, and the 3' end, to which the tRNAs corresponding amino acid is attached (by aminoacyl-tRNA synthetases). tRNAs cope with the degeneracy of the genetic code in two manners: having more than one tRNA (with a specific anti-codon) for a particular amino acid; and 'wobble' base-pairing, i.e. permitting non-standard base-pairing at the 3rd anti-codon position. The record is from RNAcentral.